Molecule: ribosomal RNA, 253 nt
Filed under: uncultured archaeon
Lineage: Archaea
Description: partial 16S ribosomal RNA
Rfam family: Archaeal small subunit ribosomal RNA
Source: RNAcentral
CACCGGCACCCCAAGUGGUAGCCACUAUUAUUGGGCCUAAAGCAUCCGUAGCCGGCUCUGUAAGUUUUCGGUUAAAUCCAUGUGCUCAACGCAUGGGCUGUCGAAAAUACUGCAUAGCUAGGGAGUGGGAGAGGUAGACGGUACUCGGUAGGAAGGGGUAAAAUCCUUUGAUCUAUCGAUGACCACCUGUGGCGAAGGCGGUCUACCAGAACACGUUCGACGGUGAGGGAUGAAAGCUGGGGGAGCAAACCGG